This 2893-nucleotide ribosomal RNA is filed under the name Acinetobacter baumannii. RNAcentral's name for it is "23S ribosomal RNA". It matches the Rfam family "Bacterial large subunit ribosomal RNA". Lineage: Bacteria; Pseudomonadati; Pseudomonadota; Gammaproteobacteria; Moraxellales; Moraxellaceae. The record is from RNAcentral.
AGUCAAGUAAUUAAGUGCAUGUGGUGGAUGCCUUGGCAGUCAGAGGCGAUGAAAGACGUGAUAGCCUGCGAAAAGCUCCGGGGAGGCGGCAAAUAUCCUUUGAUCCGGAGAUGUCUGAAUGGGGGAACCCACCUACUUUAAGGUAGGUAUUGCAACAUGAAUACAUAGUGUUGCAAGGCGAACGAGGGGAAGUGAAACAUCUCAGUACCCUUAGGAAAAGAAAUCAAUUGAGAUUCCCUCAGUAGCGGCGAGCGAACGGGGAUCAGCCCAUUAAGUUAUGUGUGUUUUAGUGGAACGCUCUGGGAAGUGCGAACGUAGAGGGUGAUAUUCCCGUACACGAAAGGGCACACAUAAUGAUGACGAGUAGGGCGAGGCACGUGAAACCUUGUCUGAAUAUGGGGGGACCAUCCUCCAAGGCUAAAUACUCCUGACUGACCGAUAGUGAACCAGUACCGUGAGGGAAAGGCGAAAAGAACCCCUGUGAGGGGAGUGAAAUAGAUCCUGAAACCGCAUGCAUACAAGCAGUGGGAGCACCUUCGUGGUGUGACUGCGUACCUUUUGUAUAAUGGGUCAGCGACUUAUAUUCAGUAGCGAGGUUAACCGUAUAGGGGAGCCGUAGAGAAAUCGAGUCUUAAUAGGGCGUUUAGUUGCUGGGUAUAGACCCGAAACCAGGCGAUCUAUCCAUGAGCAGGUUGAAGGUUGGGUAACACUAACUGGAGGACCGAACCCACUGUCGUUGAAAAGCCAGGGGAUGACUUGUGGAUAGGGGUGAAAGGCUAAUCAAGCCUGGUGAUAGCUGGUUCUCCCCGAAAGCUAUUUAGGUAGCGCCUCGGACGAAUACCAUAGGGGGUAGAGCACUGUUUCGGCUAGGGGGUCAUCCCGGCUUACCAAACCGAUGCAAACUCCGAAUACCUAUGAGUACUAUCCGGGAGACAGACUGCGGGUGCUAACGUCCGUAGUCAAGAGGAAAACAAUCCAGACCGCCAGCUAAGGCCCCAAAAUCAUAGUUAAGUGGGAAACGAUGUGGGAAGGCAUAGACAGCUAGGAGGUUGGCUUAGAAGCAGCCACCCUUUAAAGAAAGCGUAAUAGCUCACUAGUCGAGUCGGCCUGCGCGGAAGAUGUAACGGGGCUAAAACUAUGUGCCGAAGCUGCGGAUGUAUACUUUGUAUACGUGGUAGGGGAGCGUUCUGUAAGCCGAUGAAGGUGUGUUGAGAAGCAUGCUGGAGGUAUCAGAAGUGCGAAUGCUGACGUGAGUAACGACAAAACGGGUGAAAAACCCGUUCGCCGAAAGACCAAGGGUUCCAGUCCAACGUUAAUCGGGGCUGGGUGAGUCGACCCCUAAGGCGAGGCCGAAAGGCGUAGUCGAUGGGAAAAUGGUUAAUAUUCCAUUACUUCUGUGUAAUGCGAUGAGAGGACGGAGAAGGCUAAAUCAGCCUGGCGUUGGUUGUCCAGGUGAAAGGAUGUAGGCAUGUAUCUUAGGCAAAUCCGGGGUACUCUAUGCUGAGAUCUGAUAGCAAGCUGUACUUGUACAGCGAAGUGGUUGAUGCCAUGCUUCCAGGAAAAGUCUCUAAGCUUCAGUUACACAGGAAUCGUACCCGAAACCGACACAGGUGGUCAGGUCGAGUAGACCAAGGCGCUUGAGAGAACUCUGCUGAAGGAACUAGGCAAAAUGGUACCGUAACUUCGGGAGAAGGUACGCUGUUGUUGGUGAUGGAACUCGCUUCCUGAGCUGACGACAGCCGCAGAAACCAGGCCGCUGCAACUGUUUAUUAAAAACAUAGCACUCUGCAAACACGAAAGUGGACGUAUAGGGUGUGAUGCCUGCCCGGUGCUGGAAGGUUAAUUGAUGGGGUUAGCGUAAGCGAAGCUCUUGAUCGAAGCCCCAGUAAACGGCGGCCGUAACUAUAACGGUCCUAAGGUAGCGAAAUUCCUUGUCGGGUAAGUUCCGACCUGCACGAAUGGCAUAAUGAUGGCGGCGCUGUCUCCAGCAGAGGCUCAGUGAAAUCGAAAUCGCUGUGAAGAUGCAGUGUACCCGCGGCUAGACGGAAAGACCCCGUGAACCUUUACUGCAGCUUGACACUGAACUUUGACCUUACUUGUGUAGGAUAGGUGGGAGGCUUUGAAGCUGGAACGCUAGUUCCAGUGGAGCCGUCCUUGAAAUACCACCCUGGUAAUGUUGAGGUUCUAACUCUGUCCCGUGAUCCGGGACGAGGACCGUGUCUGGUGGGUAGUUUGACUGGGGCGGUCUCCUCCUAAAGAGUAACGGAGGAGUACGAAGGUGCGCUCAGCGUGGUCGGAAAUCACGCGUAGAGUAUAAAGGCAAAAGCGCGCUUAACUGCGAGACCCACAAGUCGAGCAGGUACGAAAGUAGGUCUUAGUGAUCCGGUGGUUCUGUAUGGAAGGGCCAUCGCUCAACGGAUAAAAGGUACUCUGGGGAUAACAGGCUGAUACCGCCCAAGAGUUCAUAUCGACGGCGGUGUUUGGCACCUCGAUGUCGGCUCAUCUCAUCCUGGGGCUGAAGCAGGUCCCAAGGGUAUGGCUGUUCGCCAUUUAAAGAGGUACGCGAGCUGGGUUUAGAACGUCGUGAGACAGUUCGGUCCCUAUCUACCGUGGGCGCUGGAAAUUUGAGAGGAUCUGCUCCUAGUACGAGAGGACCAGAGUGGACGAACCUCUGGUGUACCGGUUGUGACGCCAGUCGCAUCGCCGGGUAGCUAUGUUCGGAAGGGAUAACCGCUGAAAGCAUCUAAGCGGGAAGCCUACCUCAAGAUAAGAUUUCCCUAGGACUUUAUGUCCUCUAAAGAGCCGUUCGAGACUAGGACGUUGAUAGGUUGGAUGUGGAAGCAUAGUGAUAUGUGAAGCUGACCAAUACUAAUUGCUCGUGAGGCUUGACUAU